This 20-nucleotide microRNA is filed under the name Solanum lycopersicum (tomato). RNAcentral describes it as "sly-miR9470-3p". The record is from miRBase by way of RNAcentral. Lineage: Eukaryota; Viridiplantae; Streptophyta; Magnoliopsida; Solanales; Solanaceae.
UUUGGCUCAUGGAUUUUAGC